GAUGAACGCUGGCGGCGUGCCUAAUACAUGCAAGUCGAGCGAACAGACGAGGAGCUUGCUCCUCUGACGUUAGCGGCGGACGGUUGAGUAACACGUGGAUAACCUACCUAUAAGACUGGGAUAACUUCGGGAAACCGGAGCUAAUACCGGAUAAUAUAUUGAACCGCAUGGUUCAAUAGUGAAAGACGGUUUUGCUGUCACUUAUAGAUGGAUCCGCGCCGCAUUAGCUAGUUGGUAAGGUAACGGCUUACCAAGGCAACGAUGCGUAGCCGAACUGAGAGGGUGGUAGGCCACCCUGGAACUGAGACACGCUCCAGACUCCUACGGGACGCAGCAGUAGGGAAUCGUCGGCAAAGGGCGAGAGCCUUACGGAGCAAGGCCGCGUGAGUGAUGAAGGUCUUCCGAUCGUAAAACUCUGUUAUUAGGGAAGAACAAAUGUGUAAGUAACUAUGCACGUCUUGACGGUACCUAAUCAGAAAGCCACGGCUAACUACGUG
This 497-nucleotide ribosomal RNA is filed under the name uncultured bacterium. RNAcentral's name for it is "partial 16S ribosomal RNA". It matches the Rfam family "Bacterial small subunit ribosomal RNA", at positions 28 to 507 of the family's 1533-position model. The record is from RNAcentral.